CUGUGAUAAAGGCAAACCGGUCGAAAGGCCGGGACGCAAAGCCUCCGGUCUAAGGGCAUCGCCUAAGAUAGCGGGGAUACCAUA
RNAcentral lists this non-coding RNA (84 nucleotides) under Ferrimonas balearica. RNAcentral's name for it is "c-di-GMP sequence". It matches the Rfam family "c-di-GMP-I riboswitch aptamer". From Rfam's summary of the family: GEMM was predicted in a large-scale screen for bacterial structured RNA regulatory elements. The record is from RNAcentral. Lineage: Bacteria; Pseudomonadati; Pseudomonadota; Gammaproteobacteria; Alteromonadales; Ferrimonadaceae. RNAcentral also lists the same sequence under 1 other name.